Molecule: long non-coding RNA, 10686 nt
Filed under: Mytilus galloprovincialis (Mediterranean mussel)
Lineage: Eukaryota; Metazoa; Mollusca; Bivalvia; Mytilida; Mytilidae
Source: RNAcentral
CGUUUAAUAACACGUCCCUAUACAAUUUCUACUUAGAUUCAACUUCAUUGUUUGAAUCCAGAUGUUUGAAUCGGAUGUUUUUUUACCCCACGCAUGACCGAUCCAUAUUAAUGUACUGCAACUAAUAUAAAAAAACAAUCAUUAUGAUCAAGUGCAAAACUUUGUUAUUACUUUGGUUAUAAGGGAAGUGAAAAUACAUAUCUGAAACACGGAUGUCUAAUAGCUGAUAUAUUUUUACGUAUGACAAGGACAAAAAUAAACAACAAUACCCCAUCAACAGUAAAGGUGAGUACUGUAUCUUUAAACUAACAUUUUUAACUUAAUAUUAACUAUCUAGGUCAGUAAUAUAUUAUGUAUGGUAUACAUGAUAAAAAGUAUUGUUUGAUUCCCUGACUAUUUCAUACUAUAGAUUUAUAUACGGUCACUUGUUUCCUUAAUGAAUGUCAUUAUAAAAUAGUAUAUUACCCUACGCACAUCCGAUUGUAAUUAAUACAUUGUUGCUAUUAAUGAUGUUCAAGCUGAAUAUAUAGAGUAUGCAUGAUUUUAAGCGGCCUUACAAAUAUUAAUUUGUAAAUCUUACACGUGAAAACAGAGGCACAUCUUUAUAAUGUAAGGCUUAUUCUUAGAUCUUUUAAAAUUUCCCUGCUUAGAAUAGAAUUGAGAAAAGAGAAACGCAGAGCGUGUCAACAAGAAACAAGGCUAACCCAUCAAUAGGUCUGUAAUGUGGCUCACCCAGAGUCGGGCUCAGGUUGCCCCUUAAAAAUGAUGUAAACUGAUUCAACGAAAUUGACGUAUCUCUAAGCACACAGCAAUACGCAGAGUACAACUUGGUUUAAAAGAAGUCUAGGUCCGAUUUUCGAAUAGGUAACAGAAGAAAUUAAGCAAAAUGACAAUGAUUAACAUUUGUUAAUAAUGAACUACAAGCAGCUAGUGACAUACCAGCGCCAUACCUCAAUUAAAGUGAUCGAAAAUAUAUGUCUUCCUCAUAUGAAAAUCAAGCAAGUCCUCCCGUUAGGUGUUUAGUUUCAUAUCAUCAUAAAUUAAACGAGCAGAAAACAACAUGUUUAAUGCCAACAGCUGGUUUUAGAAUAAUUGUGUUUAGUUCUGAGUGAAUCAAUAUUUAUCCAAAAAUGCCGUCUUUUACGAAAGCCCUGGAGUGCCAUGGGUCUUUAAUGACUUGACAACAGUAUCGUAACUGUAUCACUUCUGAAUAAGUAUUUUUUUAAAGGUUUAGUUACGUUUGAGGUGAUUGGCGACACGUUUUAUGCUUUGUACCGAAUAAUACCAUAAAUUUUGGAUUAAUAUACAGAUAUUUCUGUAUGAAGAUGUCUUGUUUUAUCUGAAAGAAAUGUUAAUAAUCAACACCUUUUUUAAAGAAUUUUAAUCAAACGGAUUUGACCUGACACCAUUGACCUUUAAACAUUUUCAUGAAUCUUGUUAUCGUCACGACGUUUUUUGUUGUCUCUACAAUGAAUACUAGAAAUAUAAUAAUCCGUUUCACAAUUUACUACGAACCACCUCGUUUCCUCCUGAUACAUUUACUUAUUUAUUUCAAGUUAUGAAAAAUACACAAAAAUGCACUGAAAGACAAACAUCAUUUCAAUUUUUGUUUUUAAAAUACACUUAUAACAAAUAAAGGUUUCUGCAUGCGAAUUUGAUUUUCCAUUUGAAAAUAAAAGUGAACUUAGUCUGGAAAUUUGAUUUGAAAUAAUCAAGAAAUAACUUCUUUAUCCAUACAAAAAAAACCACACAAUAGUCUUUUCUCAUUUGUCUUUAAUAGGAAAAUUUAAGAAGCAAUUUUUCAUUGAUACAUUAUUUAAAAAGCGAAUUAUAUAUUAUUUUUUUCAAAUCAAAACGCCAAAUGAUUCACGCGUAUUUUCAUUUGUUCCAAGAAAAUUAUUAAUUUUGAUAAUUCAAAGCUAUGUUGCAUCCUAUUUGUCCUUGCCGGAUAAAAAAGAAUACAUAUACAUUUAUUAAUACGGAAAUAUCAUAAACAAAAACUUGGAACAGAGAGAUUUCUGUGUACUGUUAAUGUAUUUAUGGUAUAUGAUAUGUUAUUAUAUACAGUCACUAGUAUCAGAGUGUAGAACUACUUGAUAUCAGCAGGUUAAAUAACUUGAGCUUGCUAUUAUAAUUAAUAUUUUAUAAUCAUUGGUUUUUUUUUUUGUAUUUAUGUUUUUGUUCCUUAGUAUUCGUUAUUUUAACGUAAGGCGUUGUUCUGUUCGAUUUUGUUUACGUUCUUUUAUAAAACAUAAGUAAGUUCUCUGAUCGAGCUUUUAUGAUUUAGAGAAAAUGACAUUGAACGUUUAAUAUUUAGAUUUUUUUUAAAUAACUGAAAUACAUUGAUUAAAAGAAUUUCAGUCAGGUCAAUAAAAAUCCUUCAAUCCUAUAGAAACUGUCAUAGGGUAUUUACAUGCAUCAAACACCUUUUGUUUUCAAAAACAUUUGUUGUGUUACCAAUAAAAGUUCAACAAGUAUUCUGUAUUAUCCUUUUAUUAUUCUGUUAAACUUUACGUACAUCGAUUUCUUUCUUUUUUCCAAUUCAUAUCGUUAAUUCAAAGAUAAAUAUCGAAACCUGCAAUCACUAAUUCAAUUUCUAUACACAUUGUUUUAUGGUAAUUUUGAAUUGUGCAAUUCAUGUAUGAUUUAAAAAGGGAAUAUUGGUCAAUUGGAAAUGACAUUCAUUUGAACGAUUAACUACGUAGUGAUUAAUAAAUUCAAAUCGAUGGUCCGGUACAAAGCAAUUACUUUUUAUCUUUUAUCUGGGACGGAAAAGGUAUCCCUUAAAUGUUUUGCUUUAUUUUUGAAAUUUCUAAUUUUAUGACUGUAGAUUUGAUGGACUUUUCCAUGAAGAUGACAAUAAUCGUUUUGGUCUAUUUGGAGAUAUCCAUGCGAGCUUAAUUUUUCUACUACUUUGAAAUGCUGACGAGAAAAAAAUUCUAUUGUUAUAAAAAACAGAUUAAGCAUAUCAGGUAUUAUGCAAUAACUUUCUAUCAGAAUUACGACUGCUCUUGAUAUCUGAAAAUUUUUUUAGACAUAUUUUCUGCUUGGAAUCAUUCAAUGACAGUAUUCUGAUUUUUUUAUUCUCCCCUCAUAACUUUAUGACAUUCGGCUUACAAUAUAACUAUCUUAUAUACGAUAUUUAACGACUAACAAGGGAACCUUAUAUUUGCACAUGCAUAUGUUUCAUGUUCGAUGAGGUGUAGUUUAAUCACACUGAAUUAUGAAAGUUCAAACAGAAUUAUUACAUAAUCUUAUCAAUUGCACCAUUUUGUGCACACACAAAUAAACAAAUGUAACGCAUUAUACAUUUUUAUAUAGAUAUGAUUAUAAAUUAUGUAUAUGUUCAUAUACAACAAAAAUGAACCUUUUUAGUAGGUUUCAGCAUAAUUUGAUGUCAUGAUUGCAGGUUGUUAUAACUAAUAUGAAUACGAAAUCGUUGGUUAUUCAGCUCAGAUUCAUUUUUUUUAAAUUUUAGCUGACAAAAAGUGCAUAUAACAUAUACUCAAACGAGUUGUGGCUAUUGUUUAAAAGAUACUACGAAUUUAAGUGAUUUCCUGAUUUGUUGACAAAAAUUUUGUAAAAAACCUGGUUCUUGCAAGAGAAUUAUUUAACUCUUCUGCUUUUUAUUUUAAGACUGAUUGUACGAAUUUCAUUAACCGUCGGACUAUACAUAAUUCUUUAAAAAAUAAAAUAACAAAAUACUGAACUCCGAGGAAAAUUGAAAACGGAAAAUCCCUUAUCUUAUGGCCAAAUUAAAACUAAAACAAAUCAAACGAAUGGAUGACAUCCGUCAUAUUCCUGGCUUAUUUCAUGCAAUUUCUAAUGUAGAAAACGGUGGAUUGAACCUAGUUUAAUAGCUAUCAAAACCUCGCACGUCUAUGGCAGUCAAUAUAUUCCAUUAUAUUGACAAACAAACAGACAUAAUAGGUAAAAAUGUCAAAAACCAUUAAUCCACAUCAAUUGUUAUGAGUUUUGCAUUUUUAAUUUAUUGUGUAAUACUUGUAACAAAUGGACCGCAAAUAAGCGUAAAAAAUAAUAAAUGAUGGAGAAAUCGUACAUAGAAGUCCUAAUGGAAGCGUCUGAGGCUCAAAUGAAAUAGAAGUACUGUAAAAACAAUGAAAAAUUAAAAACAAUAUGCAGUUUUUCGCCAAUAAAAAAUUAAUUCCUAAAGGAGAUGUGUUAUACUUAUUGAUAUAAGCUCACCAAAAUUUAAGCAGUUUCUUGGAUGUGCACAGACUUUGCCAAUUCAAAAAAUAAUUUGAACAAGAAUGUUUACAAAUAUGAAACUUAUAUUUUUUUUUUUACCUUGUACCUCAGUCAAGGUAGGACAAAUUUGAGAAUAUGUAUGAUAACUUUUGAAUUUGCAGUCCUAUUUGGGCCACAUUAUUAUUGAUUAUACAUCAGAGACCUUCUGAUUUUUAUAAAAAUACGUAUCAGGUCGUCUUUUAAAAUCUUAAGUUUAUAAACGCUAUACUUAAACUAAAAUACAGAUUUUCACUCUUUUAUGUAAAUUAAAAUUAGACUGAUUUUACGCUAUAGUUCCGAUAGUAUUUGAUUUCCUUGUAAAAAUUAUUAAUACACAAGCGUAUGUUCCUGAUUUAAAGCGCCUUUUUAGUAUGCAUAUACUCUUCUCUACUUAGUCAACUAUUUUACAGAAAACAACCACAUGCAUUAUCCCAUUUCCUAUUAGUGGUAAAAAAUUCGGCUUUCUUUUCCUGUUGAAAUGCACUUGAACGAGUUUUAGCCAUACAUGUGUGUACCGCCUUCAUUGUCUAUUUAUUAUGUUGGAAUUGUAUUUUUUCCUUAGUUUCCGUGUGAUGUUUGUUUGCAUUCUAAUCUACGAAAUUUCUUAUUAUUAUUUUUUAAAAUAUCAUCGUAAAUAAAAUAAUUCUUAAAAUACUAUUGAUUCACUGACAUUUCAAAAAGGUAAUCUCAUGUCAACUGGUCUUUAUAUUGAUAUGAAUGUAUAUGGAAAUAUUUAUUAACAUUGAAGUGAGGAGAUAUGUAAAUAAAAGACUCGAAUUAUAUGUCAGGUAAAUUCUUUCAUAAAUAUACAGAAAGAAGUACUUGAUACAAAUACAACAUUCAACAUUUAUACCUUGAGAUAAAAUACUGCUACAAAAGGAUCAAUAUAAGAGGUUAAUAAAUGAAACUUAAUUAUGCAAAAGUCAAUUUUAUAUUGAGGAAUAUCAACACUCUGCCAAUUGUAAAAUGUAAAUACAAUUUUAUUUUUGUUAAAUCUUGAAUGUGUAUUUUUUCAUUAAAAUUUUCCGUUCUAAGGGAGAAAAAAGACCUACAUACGAUUUAACUUCCAGAACAAUAUUCAAGAAAUAUUCAUUCAAUUAAGACACACUAAUAAGAUAAAAUAUAUAAGUCGUUUUCUUCUGGUCGUAAAGUGUUCAUCAGUGCCAAAAAACUAUUGUUUAAACGCGAUCAAGGCUGCUGCUCUACCUUUAUUUUGCGUUGAAUAGCAUUGUCUUAAGAUUUCUGGUCAGCUUUAGUAAACAUUCGUGUUACGGACGUCAUAGCAAGUUGGUUGACUGUUAUGGAAUAGAUGUUUCAGAGAUGAUAACGAAUAUGGCCCAAAGAUCGUAACUACAAGCCCGUCCCCUUUUUUCCUAAUGUGAUACACCGAAUUAAUCUUAUUUCCGGGUUUGUACUGACAUGAGCGACACGAUGGAUGCCAGAUGUGAAGUAGGAUCUGCUUACUUUUCUAGAACACUUGAGAUCCCCUCAAGUUUUGGUGCGGUUCGUGUUGCUCAGUCUUUAGUUUUGGUCGUUGUGUUUUAUUGUGUAUUUGUUUUUUUCUUCUUUAGCCAAUGUGUUUUCGGUUUUUUUUUCGAUUUGUGGGUUAUGAUGUACCUCUAGUAUUUGUCGCCUCUCAUUUAAAAUGAAGGUAAUAUCGGCCGUGAAUCUAACGUUCGAGAUACAUCACAAUUUAAAGGUUUCAAUGAAUUUUUAAUAAGGAAAACUUUAAAAUAUAGCAAUGGAUGCAUGCAUAUCUUGAAAUGCAUAUACCGGAAAUGCUUUUAUCUUUAAAAAGAAACAAUUAUUAAAAAAAUUGAGAUUUAGAUGCAUAAGUUAAUGUUAGUGGAAAAAAUAUAUAUAAUGUAGUAAAUAUCUAAUAAACUUCAACAGUUCAUGUAAAGUAAUUACUGUCAGUUUUUAAUUGAAGUGUCUUUGAAUAUCAAUACUAGAUAUGUACAUUGUUCAUAUUUUAACUCUCUAUUGUGAAAUGAAAUAUCUUGUUUGCAUUGGCUAUUUAAAAUGAAACGGAUGUGUCGGAAUUAAAUAAGUCUUAAUUCGUAUAUUCAAUAUUCCAAAAAAGUUAAUUAACACAAUAAAAAUACCUGCAACAGAUAAAACGUUAAUAUUUGAAUUAUGAAAUAUCAAAAUACAUUACUAAUUUUAAGAUUAAAGAAAACCAAUAUAUAUAUUGAACAGAUAUAUCAUGUUUAGGAGGGAUAUUUUUCGUAAAUACCCCUCAAGAGCAUGCUAUAUCUAUUUAAUUACAGCGAAUGUUAACGUUCAAAAAAGCAUUGAUGUUCUUGACGUUACAAGCGUCCAGUUUGAUAGAGUAUUUUUUGGCAAAUAUCACGGUAGAGAGGGGAAAAAGGCAUAUCCCCCGGCGGCGUUAAAAAAUGAACGAUAUUCAUUUGGUUACAGUAAAUUGGUGAAAAAUACACUGGCUACCAACCAAUCAAAACCUAGGAUUCCUACAUAAGGUGUAAUUAAAUGUAAUAUAAUUUGCCAAUUAUGUCAAGACGUUCAACGAAAAGUGGCCAAUGACAUCGAAUUGAAAUGUUUGCAGACUUGUUGUAGUUGUAGUAUGAAUGACACAUAGAUACUAGUAUUCGAAUGAUAUAAGAUCAUUUGAGUCCUUGAUAAAACAUGGUAAGUUUUGUGUACUUGUAAUAAUUAUUACUUCAAAGAAACAAAAAGAGACAGUUAACAGUUAUACUUUCAAAAGAUAAGCAUUACUUCUUUUCUCUUUUUCAACAUUUCUAUUUGCACAAUUUUGAAAAUAAAAACAUUUAUACCACGACUAUCAAAUCACAACACUCUGCAUUUGUCGUAAAUAGAUUGGCUUGAUUAUGUGAAUAUGUACGCAGGGCGUCUUAAGAAUAUGUCAUCAUUUUAACGAAUGACACUAACUUCUUACUUAUAAAUAGAAUCAGAAACGUUUGCAGCAGUAAUAUUUAAUUUUAUAUCAAUGCUAAUUUUUAGAAAUUUAAGAAGAUAACAAAUUAUCGUGCAUUUGCUAUUGGUGUGGUAUUUAUCAUGUGACUUGGGUAAACGCAUUAAAAAAACUUCUCCUCGAGCGAAGCUAGCUGAAUGAACUAACUAAUUACGAUUGUUCUUAUCUGUUAAUCGACGCUUGUGUUUCGGACACCAUUCUAAUAUUGCUGCUUUAAUAUAGCCGAACAUACGAAACUGAGUGUUCUUGCCUCCUAAUAACUACUUCAAUCCGAUUUGUCACGUGAGUAUUCAUUUAACACUACCAAUAACGCUUAUGUUGUUCCAUUUAUUGACCUACUGAUAAGAAUGUUGUUAAGAAAAAUAUCAGCAUUACAGUAUGAAUUAUUUGUCACUUAGACUAUUUCAGAGUUUGUUUCCUCCGGGUGUGUAUUCUGAGUACCAUUUUAAUCUCAUGUUAUUAAUUCUUUUAGCGUUGCGAUGUAGCUAUUCGGCUAAAAUGACUUAUUAUUGAUCCCUCAUUUAUAUAAAUCAAUAAAAAGACCGAUACAAUUGAAGAUUAGAAGAUAGCAGUAAGCAUUUUCAGUUGGAUAAGAACAUGCAUAAUUUUUACUUUAGCUUUGUAUAUUAGUCCACAGCAAAACAUUUUUUCUUGGAUUCAGUUGUCCUGCUUUACAUUGUUGGUAUUUGAUAUACAUUAUGUACAUAUACAGGUUUAUACAUAUUAGCACUGUGACUGUGACAUAAACUACUGCCGUGAAAUCGUAAAUAUAGCUUUUUGUGCCUUAUUAGUUGUUUUACUUUGUCUUGAGAUAAAUCUAAAUGUAUUAAAUGUUAAAAUUUGUUAUUGUAAAAACAAUUCAAUAAAUAGGCUACAUAUGUUACAGAUUUUGGUGAAAUUUUGAAUACAAUUACUUUGGCUCUUUCAACUAAAACAGAAAAUCGAAAAAAAUCAUUUAUCUCUUUUAUUUUCUAAAAAAACGAAUAUUUCUAUAGAAAGGGCAUUUAAUCGGCAAACAACGUUCAUACUUUUCCUUAAAAUCACCAUAUCUUCAAUUUUAAAUCCAUAGAUUUUUUACGUUUAUAUAUUGUAAAAACAUUUGUUCGGUAAAUGACUUCGUUACUUCGAAAUUCAUCAACAAAGUGGACUAUCAGGUGAAAAUAUCACAAAACGUCGAAAAAGGGAAAUCCCUAAAAACUAACAAAUUCAAACGUUAUCAACCAAUAAGCGUAUCAUCAACGUGUGGUUGGCCGUAAAACGCCCAUUUUGAGGCAACCAACUUAGUACGGAUGGUAAGUCAAUACACAAAAAACAAAGUCAGUGACCAUUUGAUUAUUAUUUAUCAUUAAGACGGACGUUUAUUUGCUUGUCGAUGCAGUAAUGUACUUGCCAGUGUAGUCGAUAUUCCACGUACAGCUUUUGGUAUUUAUUUUUGCUAUGUACUUAUACAUCCCGUUAUUGUGCUAUUGUAAACUUUUGUAUUCUUGUCUCUCAAUUGAGCUAAUGUGAUUUGCCUAUAUGCCUGUUCGUGCAUCUUUGUUACAUAUUUGUUUGUUUUUAUGGUGAUUAAUAUUAUAACACAAUUCUAAUAGAAGUGAGAGGUUUAGCUAUCUAUAAAAGCAGGUUUAGUUCACCAUUUUAUACAUAAGAAAAUGCCUGUACCAAGUCAAGACUAUGACAGUUGUUAUCCAUUCGUGUUAUCUGUUUGAUGAUUUGGGGCUUUUGAUUUUGCCAUUUGAUUAGGAACUUUUCGUUUUGAAUUUUCCUCUGAGUUCGGUAGUUUUGUGAUUUUACUUUUUUUAUAAAUAUUAUAGAUUCGUCAGAGGAAACGAACACAACAAUACAUGUAUCUCUUAAUGUUACAAUUCAGGAAUAUGUAAAUAUGUUUUGGGACAUUUGUUUGGAUAUCUAUCGUAUAAAUAAGGUUUCACUAAGUGAGGAACUUAUGGGCCAAAUUCGAUGGGAAUGACUGUAACAGUUAGACUAUGUCUGUUUUUUUUUAUUUAAUGCUGGCAUUUCAGGCCAUCUAGUUUGGUAUUUCUGAAGCUUGGUUAAUCAGAAAAGAUCACCAAGGCAAUUUGAAAUAUUCAUAUAUGUUUAACUUUAAACUGUUCGGACUACUGACAAAAUACACCUGCACAUAUUUAUAAGGGGAAGACGGACUAAAUCGACAUCUAAACCUUUUCACGGGCUCACAUAUCUUUAUGGAUUAAGUACUCAAAUACCUGAUGUUCAUCAGCCUUGGAUAUUUACUUGAAAAUUGUCUUUAAAUUGAAAAAAAAAUCUCCCUUAAACGCUAAAAUGCAAGUUUCAUUUUGAUCUCAUUACUCUAUGGGGUAAACAUUUAUCUAUAUGUUAUAGUUACGUUGUACCUAAUUAUAAUCUUAAAAGUAUGGGUAUCCAAUAAAUCCUUCAUAGAAAAUGCAGUUAAGAAUGUGUCAAUGGUCUUCACAUAUUGUAACACUAUAUAUAUGUGACGUAAAUUAAUCGAAUAAUCAAAAUCGAAACCAUAAAAGAAACGAAGAUCAAAUAUUUGUUUUUAAUUUAUUGAAAGAAACUUUCAGCGACGUAUAAAAACAUUUUAUUUUUUAAAAAAAGUUGGGAACUCGUAAGUACAAAUAAUUUCUAAUUUUGUUAUUUUGUAUUUAAGCAAACAAUAGAUAAAAGAAAUAUUGAUCUGAAAUUCAAAUAACGAUAUGUUUUUGCAACUUAAUAUUUCAUAAUAUUUUUUGUUUAAUGGUUCAGUUGACUUCAAAUCAACCGUUAUACAUUGUACUUAAAAAUUUAUACUAUCAAAAACGACAAAAAAACUUAAAAACUUAAGCAGAUACUUAAGGGCAAAUAAAAAAAGUGUUGAUACCAGGGAAUAACAUAUAUAUGACAUUGAAUUUACACAUUUAAAUCUAAGAAUUAAUUCAGUACAAAUACGUGAAUAUCAGAACACCGUGUAAACUUUUUAUUUACUGCACUAAAUGACUUCAUUUAAGAAGUUAAAGCACUGAGGUGCUAUCUUAGUUUUACUGAUCAAUUAUCGAGCUCUUCAUAUAACUAAAUAUCUGUUUCAGACUUAUUGAAUAAAAAACUUAGUGGUAAAAUUCAAUUGAGAAUGAAGCAACUAAGUAAUAUAUAACAUCAUUAGGAGGACUGUAACUACUGGUAUUGAUCAAACUAAUAAAGUGUCGCAAUAUGCAAACGAAGCCAAUUGGUUAAUGGUAUUCAUUGUCAAGUAGUCUCAGUCAUCUAAAUAACAUGUCAAUUAUUUUUAAUUCCAGAUUGUAAUAAGACUGUAUGACAAAGCAAGACAUGAGGAAGAAUAUCAUCAUUCCUGUAAAGGACUUUAUAAUACGUUUGAUUAAUCUGUGAUAAAUAUAUAAUUCAUUAAACAGUGAUAACCAAAUAACUGACAUGUUGAACUUAUCGUUGAUGCUGGUAUUCCUUUUUGGAUUUAUGGGAACAGCAUUAAGCAAGAUUUGUCAUGAGCAAAA